RNAcentral lists this ribosomal RNA (426 nucleotides) under actinobacterium BAL271. Its description in RNAcentral is "bacterial SSU rRNA". It matches the Rfam family "Bacterial small subunit ribosomal RNA", at positions 41 to 480 of the family's 1533-position model. Lineage: Bacteria; Bacillati; Actinomycetota; Actinomycetes. The record is from RNAcentral.
GGCGUGCUUAACACAUGCAAGUCGAACGGUGAAGGAGAGCUUGCUCUUUGGAUCAGUGGCGAACGGGUGAGUAACACGUGAGCAAUCUGCCCCUGACUCUGGGAUAACAGUUGGAAACAGCUGCUAAUACCGGAUACGAGACGUGACCGCAUGGUCGACGUUUGGAAAGAAUUUCGGUCAGGGAUGAGCUCGCGGCCUAUCAGCUUGUUGGUGAGGUAAUGGCUCACCAAGGCGUCGACGGGUAGCCGGCCUGAGAGGGUGACCGGCCACACUGGGACUGAGACACGGCCCAGACUCCUACGGGAGGCAGCAGUGGGGAAUAUUGCACAAUGGGCGAAAGCCUGAUGCAGCAACGCCGCGUGAGGGACGACGGCCUUCGGGUUGUAAACCUCUUUUAGCAGGGAAGAAGCGAAAGUGACGGUACCU